GAGGAAUAUUGGUCAAUGGACGCAAGUCUGAACCAGCCAUGCCGCGUGGAGGAUGAAGGCCUUCGGGUCGUAAACUCCUGUCGACCGGGACGAAAGUAGUCUGGCCCAAUACGCCGGGCUAUCGACUGUCCCGGUGGAGGAAGCCACGGCCAACCCUGUGCCAGCAGCCGCGGUAAUACAGAGGUGGCAAGCGUUGUUCGGAAUUACUGGGCGUAAAGGGCGCGUAGGCGGUCUUGCAAGUCCUGUGUGAAAUCCCUCGGCUCAACUGAGGAACUGCACAGGAAACUGCUUGGCUUGAGUUCGGGAGAGGGAAGCGGAAUUCCGGGUGUAGCGGUGAAAUGCGUAGAUAUCCGGAGGAACACCGGUGGCGAAGGCGGCUUCCUGGACCGACACUGACGCUGAGGCGCGAAAGCUAGGGGAGCAAA
This 425-nucleotide ribosomal RNA is filed under the name uncultured bacterium. RNAcentral's name for it is "bacterial SSU rRNA". It matches the Rfam family "Bacterial small subunit ribosomal RNA", at positions 356 to 772 of the family's 1533-position model. The record is from RNAcentral.